CGGCGAAGUGAAGCGGCAACAGCUCAAAUUUGAAAUCUGGCUCUCUUAGGGUCCGWGUUGUAAUUUGUAGAAGAUGCUUUGGGAACGGUACCGGUCUAAGUUCCUUGGAACAGGACGUCAUAGAGGGUGWGAAUCCCGUAUGCGACUGGUUGCCUGCCCCGUGUAAAGCUCUUUCGACGWGUCGAGUUGUUUGGGAAUGCAGCUCAAAAUGGGUGGUAAAUUUCAUCUAAAGCUAAAUAUUGGCCAGWGACCGAUAGCGCACAAGUAGAGUGAUCGAAAGAUGAAAAGCACUUUGGAAAGAGAGUUAAACAGUACGUGAAAUUGUUGAAAGGGAAGCGCUUGCAACCAGACUUGCACGCAGUUAAUCAUCUGGUGUUCUCACCGGUGCACUUGGCUGCGUUCAGGCCAGCAUCGGUUCAGGUGGUGGGAUAAAGGCCUUGGGAAUGUGGCUCCUCUCGGGGAGCGUUAUAGCCCUCGGUGCAAUGCCGCCUACCUGGACCGAGGACCGCGCUUCGGCUAGGAUGCUGGCGUAAUGGUUGUAAGCGACCCGUCUUGAAACACGGACCAAGGAGUCUAACAUCUAUGCGAGUGUUUGGGUGUCAAACCCAUACGCGUAAUGAAAGUGAACGGAGGUGAGAACCCUUAAGGGUGCAUCAUCGACCGAUCCUGAUGUCUUCGGAUGGAUUUGAGUAAGAGCAUAACUGUUGGGACCCGAAAGAUGGUGAACUAUGCCUGAAUAGGGUGAAGCCAGAGGAAACUCUGGUGGAGGCUCGCAGCGGUUCUGACGUGCAAAUCGAUCGUCAAAUUUGGGUAUAGGGGCGAAAGACUAAUCGAACCAUCAGCUACUAGGUGGUUAAGAGAUCCACGAGAAGUGCAGAUCUAGCUCUAUAGUGAGCAACAUUAUCAAAUUGCGGGGACCUCCUGUUAACAUUCAAUGCUACCGCCGUUCUGUCGAAAGUCGAGCUGGCACCAGGUCAAUAACCUCGGCUAGGGUAAUAAUGCAUUCUAUAUACGGAAAAUCCGCAGCAAAGUUCCUAAGGGCUUGUCCUAUGGAAACUGCUCACAGACUAAAUGAUAAUGGGUAUCGGUUAAUACGAUGCUUAAGAUAUAGUCGAUCCCCCGGGAGACCGGGUGGGGAAGCGACUUUACACGAGAGGUGUUUGUUCUAGUCCUAGGCUAAUUAGAGAGAUGACAAGAUAGCGUGGCCAAGUUGGGCAGUCUUAUUUAUCAAUCCUGAUAGUUUAGGUGUAGAAUUAGCCAAGGGACGCAGGUAAAGCUGC
RNAcentral lists this ribosomal RNA (1280 nucleotides) under Hyphodiscus sp. DV-2018a. Its description in RNAcentral is "LSU rRNA". It matches the Rfam family "Eukaryotic large subunit ribosomal RNA", at positions 87 to 1154 of the family's 3401-position model. Lineage: Eukaryota; Fungi; Ascomycota; Leotiomycetes; Helotiales; Hyphodiscaceae. The record is from RNAcentral.